This 253-nucleotide ribosomal RNA is filed under the name uncultured bacterium. RNAcentral describes it as "partial 16S ribosomal RNA". It matches the Rfam family "Bacterial small subunit ribosomal RNA", at positions 524 to 776 of the family's 1533-position model. The record is from RNAcentral.
UACGGAGGGAGCUAGCGUUGUUCGGAAUUACUGGGCGUAAAGCGCACGUAGGCGGUUUUUCAAGUCAGGGGUGAAAGCCCGGAGCUCAACUCCGGAACUGCCUCUGAAACUGGAUGACUAGAAUCUUGGAGAGGUGAGUGGAAUUCCGAGUGUAGAGGUGAAAUUCGUAGAUAUUCGGAAGAACACCAGUGGCGAAGGCGACUCACUGGACAAGUAUUGACGCUGAGGUACGAAAGCGUGGGGAGCAAACAGG